AAAACUCAAGAAGACAUCAUAGGCCCCUUCUGGUCUAGAUCGAGAAGACUCUGGCUCUGUCAUGGUAGCUGCAGAAAUUAAGGCACAAUCAAUUCGCAAUGGAGCAAUAUAACAAAGAGUUAGCUAUGAAAUUCCAAAGGAGAAAGCACCAGGAAUUUAGAGUCAAUGCAAGGCAGAAGUAGUAGUAGACUCAACCUAUCCUAUGAUCAGACUAAUCAAAUAACAUUUUCAAAUCGAAUCAGCAGUUCCUACAUGUAUAGACACACGCAUCUGCCUUACCUGUUUAGACAAAACUGACAGGCUUACUGAGGUCAGCUUUUCUUCUCGUUCGCGAGGAUGAACAAAGGAAUUUAGGAGAAGUUAGCUGCAGAGUAAAGAAAGGGUAUUGAAUUGAGGUUUGUAAUUGUGUUCUUUAAUAGGAGAAAGAGAAAUGAUAUGCUUUCUAUUCA
Molecule: long non-coding RNA, 449 nt
Organism: Populus nigra (black poplar)
Lineage: Eukaryota; Viridiplantae; Streptophyta; Magnoliopsida; Malpighiales; Salicaceae
Exons: 2
Source: RefSeq, a predicted model, not a curated record